RNAcentral lists this long non-coding RNA (463 nucleotides) under Rattus norvegicus (Norway rat). Its description in RNAcentral is "long non-coding RNA NONRATT009119". The record is from RNAcentral. Lineage: Eukaryota; Metazoa; Chordata; Mammalia; Rodentia; Muridae.
AUUUAGGCAACACCUGUUUGGGUGGAAUUGACAGUCAAAGGGCACAUUUAAAAAAAAUCACAUAUGUUCUUGUGUUUAUUACCUCAAUGUGAACGUUGUCGAGCGGCAAGCAAACUUGGUGAGAGGAGAAAGCCUGGAUCCACCCGCGCUUCCUGCCAGGUUUGUCCGUCCUCACCGGUCCUUUUACGCCUUCUGCUUCAUGCUUCACGGCUGAGGGAGACUGGCAAGCAGAGGAAAGUGCACCCCCAUUCCUGCAGGAGUAUUCUGUUCUGACAGCGGAGGCUUCUGGUUUUACUUGUAAUGGACACAAGGACAGAACAGACAUUCAUUUUAAAAGGUCUCAGGAAAAGCAGCGAGUGCAGCAGGAACAGGAAGACCAUCAUCCCCCGCUGUGUGCCUAACAUGGUGUGUCUGCACACAUACAUCAUCUCGGAGGAGUCGGUGUUUCUCGUGCUGCAGCACG